Prosopis cineraria is the source of this 311-nucleotide long non-coding RNA. RefSeq lists it as uncharacterized. NCBI's taxonomy places the organism in Eukaryota, Viridiplantae, Streptophyta, Magnoliopsida, Fabales, Fabaceae. The transcript has 2 exons. The record is from RefSeq and is a predicted model, not a curated record.
UCAAGAAUCAAAGGCGUGAGAAAAUCCCCAGUUUAAAAGCAGAAUUGAAAACGUUGCAAAUCCAUGGGGCUCCGCAUUGCAUUUACAGUACAAGCUAGCAUGUUGUCGCGCUUCAACUCAAAUCUCGUUGAGGGGCUUGAACUCGAGACCUGAUGCUUAAGAAGGCAUAACUCCUACCAGGAUUAACACUUAUUAGUACCAUCUGACAAUUCUUUUGUGGCUAUCUUGAUGUCCUGGCCAGAUCAAGGAACUAUAUAAUACACGAGGCAAAACUUUGAACGCCCCUAACCCCCCCUCCAAAAAAAAAAGAA